MicroRNA precursor from Medicago truncatula (barrel medic), 65 nucleotides. It matches the Rfam family "MIR5291 microRNA precursor family". Lineage: Eukaryota; Viridiplantae; Streptophyta; Magnoliopsida; Fabales; Fabaceae. The record is from Rfam.
GAUGGAUUUCAAACCAAUCCAUUAACAAACGUUUUAUUUGAUGGAUGGAUUAGAUGGAUUUUAUA